This 298-nucleotide unclassified non-coding RNA is filed under the name Apiotrichum sp. Its description in RNAcentral is "partial contains 5.8S ribosomal RNA, internal transcribed spacer 2, and large subunit ribosomal RNA". The stretch from base 1 to 71 matches the Rfam family "5.8S ribosomal RNA", at positions 84 to 154 of the family's 154-position model. The record is from RNAcentral. Lineage: Eukaryota; Fungi; Basidiomycota; Tremellomycetes; Trichosporonales; Trichosporonaceae.
GUGAGUCAUCGAAUCUUUGAACGCAACUUGCGCUCUCUGGUAUUCCGGAGAGCAUGCCUGUUUGAGUGUCAUGAAAUCUCAACCAUUAGGGUUUCUUAAUGGCUUGGAUUUGGGUGUUGCCAGUCUACUGGCUCGCCUUAAAGGAGUUAGCGAGUUUAACAAUGUCCUCUGGAGUAAUAAGUUUCUCUGGAAAGGCUUGUGAAGUUUGCUUCUAAUCGUCUUCGGACAAUUACUUUGACUCUGGCCUCAAAUCAGGUAGGACUACCCGCUGAACUUAAGCAUAUCAAUAAGCGGAGGA